GACGAACGCUGGCGGCGUGCUUAACACAUGCAAGUCGAACGGAAAGGCCCUGCUUUUGUGGGGUGCUCGAGUGGCGAACGGGUGAGUAACACGUGAGUAACCUGCCCUUGACUUUGGGAUAACUUCAGGAAACUGGGGCUAAUACCGGCUAGGAGCUCCUGCUGCAUGGUGGGGGUUGGAAAGUUUCGGCGGUUGGGGAUGGACUGGGGGCUUAUCAGCUUGUUGGUGGGGUAGUGGCUUACCAAGGCUUUGACGGGUAGCCGGCCUGGGAGGGUGACCGGCCACAUUGGGACUGAGAGACGGCCCAGACUCCUACGGGAGGCAGCAGUGGGGAAUAUUGCACAAUGGGCGGAAGCCUGAUGCAGCAACGCCGCGUGCGGGAUGACGGCCUUCGGGUUGUAAACCGCUUUCGCCUGUGACGAAGCGUGAGUGACGGUAAUGGGUAAAGAAGCACCGGCUAACUACGUG
RNAcentral lists this ribosomal RNA (468 nucleotides) under uncultured bacterium. RNAcentral describes it as "partial 16S ribosomal RNA". It matches the Rfam family "Bacterial small subunit ribosomal RNA", at positions 28 to 507 of the family's 1533-position model. The record is from RNAcentral.